RNAcentral lists this ribosomal RNA (250 nucleotides) under uncultured bacterium. Its description in RNAcentral is "partial 16S ribosomal RNA". It matches the Rfam family "Bacterial small subunit ribosomal RNA", at positions 524 to 776 of the family's 1533-position model. The record is from RNAcentral.
UACGAAGGGGGCUAGCGUUGCUCGGAAUCACUGGGCGUAAAGGGUGCGUAGGUGGGUCUUUAAGUCAGGGGUGAAAUCCUGGAGCUCAACUCCAGAACUGCCUUUGAUACUGAAGAUCUUGAGUUCGGGAGAGGUGAGUGGAACUGCGAGUGUAGAGGUGAAAUUCGUAGAUAUUCGCAAGAACACCAGUGGCGAAGGCGGCUCACUGGCCCGAUACUGACGCUGAGCACGAAAGCGUGGGAGCAACAGG